Trifolium pratense (red clover) is the source of this 1668-nucleotide RNA transcript. It is a transcript of the gene named erlin-2-B, with no coding region annotated. The transcript is spliced from 10 exons. The record is from RefSeq and is a predicted model, not a curated record. NCBI's taxonomy places the organism in Eukaryota, Viridiplantae, Streptophyta, Magnoliopsida, Fabales, Fabaceae.
GGUGUAUCUCACGAUCAAACAAAUAAGGAAGCAAGAGGUGUUUUAUACCAAACCCAAACUCAAAGAAUCAAAAACACAAACAGAAAAAGUUCCACCGCCAUGGAUUCGCAGCACCAAACUCGAAUAUCGCAAACUCGUGAUCCUUCAUCAACUUCCAUUAUGCUACCCUUUCUCUCAUUCAUACUCAUUGCCGCUUUGGUUUUGGUUCCUUCAGCAUCACCAUCCUUAAAAAAUACAAUGUCAGUUAUUCACCAAGUCCCUGAAGGCCAUGUGGGGGUAUAUUGGAGAGGAGGUGCGCUUCUGAAAACAAUUACAGAGCCAGGUUUCCAUAUGAAGAUGCCUUUCUUAACUCAGUUUGAGCCAGUUCAAGUGACACUUCAAACAGACGAGGUGACAGAUAUACCGUGCGGUACUAAAGGUGGUGUUAUGAUUACUUUUGGGAAGAUUGAGGUUGUUAACCGAUUGCAUAAAGAAUCUGUCUAUGAGACAUUGCUCAACUAUGGUGUACAAUAUGACAAGACAUGGAUAUAUGACAAGAUUCAUCAUGAGAUUAAUCAGUUCUGCAGCUCUCAUAGUCUUCAACAAGUAUAUAUUGAUGUGUUUGAUCAGAUUGACGAAAAGAUGAAGGAUGCUCUUCAAGUUGACUGUACCCGUUAUGCUCCAGGCAUUGAGAUCAUUGGUGUCCGUGUCACAAAGCCAAAUAUUCCAGAAAACAUAAGCCACAACUAUGAACAGAUGGAAGAGGAGCGUACUAAGGGCUUAAUUGCUAUUGAGAAACAAAAAGUAUCCGAGAAGGAGGCAGAGACUAUGAAGAAGAUGGCUAUUAGCGAGGCUGAGAAAAAUGCCAAUGUUAGCAAGAUCCUUAUGGAACAAAAGUUGUUGGAAAAAGAUAGUGCAAGAAAACAGGAAGAAAUUGAGAAUGCAAUGUACCUAGCACGUGAGAAGAGUCUGGCGGAUGCAGAUUUCUACCGUGUAAUAAGGGAAGCUGAAGCAAACAGGUUGAAACUUACCCCUGAAUUUCUUGAGCUAAAAUUUAUCGAAUCCAUUGCUAAUAAUACGAAGAUUUUCUUUGGAGACAAGAUUCCAAAUAUGAUUUUGGACCAAAGGCUACUCAGAAACUUCCUCGUUGAAGAAGUUUCUAGAGGGGAAACUCAAAAGACAAAAGCAGAUAUCUAAACUCUACCAGUGGGAGCUUGGAUAUCUCGUUGCUAUCUUCUACAGUAAACAAUGAAAAGAAAGAUACCUAUGUUUUAGAUACAGUCAUGCAAAGGAUCAAGGCCAUGUUUCUCACCUCUAGAAGCACAGAAGUACAAGCCGUCUAGAUCAACACAUGAGGACUAUAAUUUUUAAUUUUGCAACUAAAAACACAACUCUUAAAAGAAAAAAUAAGACUCACGAGGAGUUGAUUCGUUAAUCGCAGGAGGAUUCUCGUUUGCUUAGGGAGCAAUUAUUUCAAUUUAUGGAAAAAAUUUGUUCAAAGUCAGCUACCUCCACGUUCCGAUCCACCUCUGCCUCCUACUAAUUGUUACACAUAUAUUAGUUAUGGUGUUUUGAGAGUUUGGCUAUAAACUCUUGAGUUUCAAGAACAUUAAUGCCUUUUUUUCUUUUAUAAAAAACAAUGUUAGUAGUAUUAGUUUCAACAACAAUAUUAUAUUUGUUAUGGCUACC